Molecule: ribosomal RNA, 253 nt
Filed under: uncultured bacterium
Lineage: Bacteria
Description: partial 16S ribosomal RNA
Rfam family: Bacterial small subunit ribosomal RNA
Source: RNAcentral
UCCGAAGGGGGCUAGCGUUGUUCGGAAUCACUGGGCGUAAAGAGCACGCCGGCGGGUCGAUAAGUCGGGGGUGAAAGCCCGGGGCGCAACCUCGGAAUUGCCUUCGAUACUGUCGGUCUCGAGUCCGGGAGAGGUGAGUGGAAUUCCUAGUGUAGAGGUGAAAUUCGUAGAUAUUAGGAAGAACACCAGUGGCGAAGGCGGCUCACUGGCCCGGUACUGACGCUCAGGUGCGAAAGCGUGGGGAGCAAACAGG